This 397-nucleotide ribosomal RNA is filed under the name uncultured bacterium. RNAcentral describes it as "partial 16S ribosomal RNA". It matches the Rfam family "Bacterial small subunit ribosomal RNA", at positions 523 to 918 of the family's 1533-position model. The record is from RNAcentral.
AUACGUAGGGGGCGAGCGUUGUCCGGAAUGAUUGGGCGUAAAGGGCGCGUAGGCGGCCCGGUAAGUCUGGAGUGAAAGUCCUGUUUUUAAGAUGGGAAUUGCUUUGGAUACUGUCGGGCUUGAGUGCAGGAGAGGUAAGUGGAAUUCCCAGUGUAGCGGUGAAAUGCGUAGAGAUUGGGAGGAACACCAGUGGCGAAGGCGACUUACUGGACUGUAACUGACGCUGAGGCGCGAAAGUGUGGGGAGCAAACAGGAUUAGAUACCCUGGUAGUCCACACUGUAAACGAUGAAUGCUAGGUCUAGGGGGUAUCGACCCCUUCUGUGCCGCAGUCAACACAAUAAGCAUUCCGCCUGGGGAGUACGGCCGCAAGGUUGAAACUCAAAGGAAUUGACGGGG